Molecule: ribosomal RNA, 480 nt
Filed under: uncultured bacterium
Lineage: Bacteria
Description: bacterial SSU rRNA
Rfam family: Bacterial small subunit ribosomal RNA
Source: RNAcentral
AAUCAACGCUGGCGGCGUGCCUAACACAUGCAAGUCGAACGCGAAAGCCCGCAAGGGUAAGUAGAGUGGCGCACGGGUGAGUAACACGUGGACAACCUGCCUUCGAGUGGGGAAUAACCUUCCGAAAGGAGGGCUAAUACCGCAUAACACCUCGGGACACAAGUUCUGGGGUUGAAAAGAGCAAUUUGCUCGAAGAGGGGUCCGCGCCUGAUUAGCUAGUUGGUGAGGUAACGGCUCACCAAGGCUUCGAUCAGUAGCCGUCCUGAGAGGGAGCACGGCCACACUGGAACUGAGACACGGUCCAGACUCCUACGGGAGGCAGCAGUGGGGAAUUUUUGGCAAUGGGCGAAAGCCUGACCAAGCAACGCCGCGUGGGUGAUGAAGUAUCUUGGUACGUAAAACCCUUUCGGCAGGGACGAACCUAAUGACGGUACCUGCGGAAGAAGCCCCGGCUAACUCCGUGCCAGCCGCCGCCGUAAG